This 435-nucleotide ribosomal RNA is filed under the name uncultured bacterium. RNAcentral's name for it is "bacterial SSU rRNA". It matches the Rfam family "Bacterial small subunit ribosomal RNA", at positions 28 to 507 of the family's 1533-position model. The record is from RNAcentral.
GACGAACGCUGGCGGCAGGCUUAACACAUGCAAGUCGAACGGGCGUAGCAAUACGUCAGUGGCAGACGGGUGAGUAACGCGUGGGAAUAUGCCCUUUAGUUCGGAAUAACUCAGGGAAACUUGAGCUAAUACCGGAUAAUCCCGAGAGGGGAAAGAUUUAUCGCUGAAGGAGUAGCCCGCGUCUGAUUAGCUAGUUGGUGAGGUAAUGGCUCACCAAGGCGACGAUCAGUAGCUGGUCUGAGAGGAUGAUCAGCCACACUGGGACUGAGACACGGCCCAGACUCCUACGGGAGGCAGCAGUGGGGAAUAUUGGACAAUGGGGGCAACCCUGAUCCAGCCAUGCCGCGUGAGUGAUGAAGGCCUUAGGGUUGUAAAACUCUUUUGUCCGGGAAGAUAAUGACUGUACCGGAAGAAUAAGCCCCGGCUAACUUCGUG